GCAUGGAUCUGCGGGAAAAGGAUUUAUUCGCUCUAGGAUGGACUCGCGUCCAAUUAGCUAGUUGGUGAGGUAACGGCCCACCAAGGCGACGAUUGGUAGCCGGACUGAGAGGUUGAACGGCCACAUUGGGACUGAGACACGGCCCAGACUCCUACGGGAGGCAGCAGUGGGGGAUAUUGCACAAUGGGGGAAACCCUGAUGCAGCGACGCCGCGUGGAGGAAGAAGGUUUUCGGAUUGUAAACUCCUGUCGUUAGGGACGAUAAUGACGGUACCUAACAAGAAAGCACCGGCUAACUACGUGCCAGCAGCCGCGGUAAAACGUAGGGUGCAAGCGUUGUCCGGAAUUACUGGGUGUAAAGGGAGCGCAGGCGGACCGGCAAGUUGGAAGUGAAAACUAUGGGCUCAACCCAUAAAUUGCUUUCAAAACUGCUGGCCUUGAGCAGUGCAGAGGUAGGUGGAAUUCCCGGUGUAGCGGUGGAAUGCGUAGAUAUCGGGAGGAACACCAGUGGCGAAGGCGACCUACUGGGCACCAACUGACGCUGAGGCUCGAAAGCAUGGGUAGCAAACAGGAUUAGAUACCCUGGUAGUCCAUGCCGUAAACGAUGAUUACUAGGUGUUGGAGGAUUGACCCCUUCAGUG
Molecule: ribosomal RNA, 640 nt
Filed under: uncultured bacterium
Lineage: Bacteria
Description: bacterial SSU rRNA
Rfam family: Bacterial small subunit ribosomal RNA
Source: RNAcentral